AUUGAACGCUGGCGGCAUGCCUUACACAUGCAAGUCGAACGGUAACAGGUCUUCGGAUGCUGACGAGUGGCGAACGGGUGAGUAAUACAUCGGAACGUGCCCGAUCGUGGGGGAUAACGGAGCGAAAGCUUUGCUAAUACCGCAUACGAUCUACGGAUGAAAGCAGGGGACCGCAAGGCCUUGCGCGGACGGAGCGGCCGAUGGCAGAUUAGGUAGUUGGUGGGAUAAAAGCUUACCAAGCCGACGAUCUGUAGCUGGUCUGAGAGGACGACCAGCCACACUGGGACUGAGACACGGCCCAGACUCCUACGGGAGGCAGCAGUGGGGAAUUUUGGACAAUGGGCGCAAGCCUGAUCCAGCCAUGCCGCGUGCAGGAUGAAGGCCUUCGGGUUGUAAACUGCUUUUGUACGGAACGAAAGACUCUUUCUAAUAAAGAGGUCCAUGACGGUACCGUAAGGAAUAAGCACCGGCUAACUACGUGCCAGCAGCCGCGGU
Molecule: ribosomal RNA, 495 nt
Filed under: uncultured bacterium
Lineage: Bacteria
Description: bacterial SSU rRNA
Rfam family: Bacterial small subunit ribosomal RNA
Source: RNAcentral